Molecule: ribosomal RNA, 433 nt
Filed under: uncultured bacterium
Lineage: Bacteria
Description: partial 16S ribosomal RNA
Rfam family: Bacterial small subunit ribosomal RNA
Source: RNAcentral
AACGAACGCUGGCGGCAUGCCUAACACAUGCAAGUCGAACGAGACCUUCGGGUCUAGUGGCGCACGGGUGCGUAACGCGUGGGAACCUGCCCUUAUGUUCGGAAUAACUCCCCGAAAGGGGUGCUAAUACCGGAUAAUGUCUUCGGACCAAAGAUUUAUCGCCUUUGGAUGGGCCCGCGUUGGAUUAGCUAGUUGGUAGGGUAAAAGCCUACCAAGGCGACGAUCAAUAGGUGGUCUGAGAGGAUGAUCAGCCACACUGGGACUGAGACACGGCCCAGACUCCUACGGGAGGCAGCAGUGGGGAAUAUUGGAAAGUGGGCGAAAGCCUGAUCCAGCAAUGCCGCGUGAGUGAUGAAGGCCUUAGGGUUGUAAAGCGCUUUUACCCGGGAUGAUAAUGACAGUACCGGGAGAAUAAGCCCCGGCUAACUCCGUG